GCAAAUCUUAAGAGGCAGAAUAGUAAAUGAUAGCUGCGGUUCAGAAAGUUGGCGGUCGCUGUGAGCCAAUCUGUACUAUUAUUGAACUCGCUGCUGAAGAGCGACUGUGAACGUGUGUAGUGGUCGACGCGAGGCUGGCGUUAUUGGCAAAUGAGUGGAUGACAAUUGUCAUCAAACAGGGUGGUACCGCGAGAAGCCUCGUCCCUGGC
This is a non-coding RNA of Sporomusa sphaeroides DSM 2875, 209 nucleotides long. The record is from Rfam. NCBI's taxonomy places the organism in Bacteria, Bacillati, Bacillota, Negativicutes, Selenomonadales, Sporomusaceae.